UAUACAAUUAUAAGCACAGAGAGCGUGACGGAUCUUCAAGUUUAUGACCAUUUUACGAUAUUUUGUUGUGUUCGCGGUGGAGGAAUUAAAAUAAGAAUAACUAUCGGUGCACAUUUUAUCGAUCGUACGAAGCACAAACAAUAAAAAUUCAAACUUUUUACCACGAAUUCGCUUGUUAUACUACCGGAUGACCGGAUGGGGGAGGAG
Cinara cedri is the source of this 207-nucleotide non-coding RNA. Lineage: Eukaryota; Metazoa; Arthropoda; Insecta; Hemiptera; Aphididae. The record is from the annotation of a GenBank genome assembly.